AGGCCUGGCUACGCCGACCGGCACCUGAACUCCCUGCACGCGUUGCAUGCCUCCCACAGAGAUGGGACUGCUUAGUAAGACCUUGCUCAGCAGUAGUCCUGUUUUAUAGCUGAUAAAAAGGAGGUGGUGUGACUCUGGUGACACACAGUGAGGAAAUGACAGAGCUGGAGUUUCCGUCUGUUCCACAUUGCUGCAUUUGUUCUGCCUGACUUGGACCCUGGAAAACCUGGCCCUCUUCAAUUUCUGACAAAAGGUAAAAUGUGCAAACUUUGUGAACCAGGAAUUUAUCCUGCAAAAAGGUAAAUGGACAGAGAUGCUCGUUGCAUCCCUAUUUGUAAUAAUAAGAGAUUGGGAAAACUCAAAUGUUCAUCAAAGGAGAAUUGCUUCAACAAUUUUAUGUUGUAAUCCAUGUGAUAGAAUACUGAUAUAUUUUUUAAAAAAGAGGUUAGCUCCACAGAAGUGACAGGAAACUGUCCACAAUGUGUCCUGAGGCCAAAACAAGUUGCAGAACAGUAUGUAAACAGUUUGUAACUUUUUUGUAACUACAUAGGUAAAAAUACUUUUGGCUUUACUUCUUUGUCUGCUUAGACUCCCAGAUUCUCUGAUGAUACCACUCUGGUGCUUGUCCUAAUGGGAAAGUUUCCUGAAAUCCUGCGAUGAGUUUGACAGUUUCAAAAUUCCUUCAAACAUACAGUGAAUGACAGACAA
Molecule: long non-coding RNA, 708 nt
Filed under: Homo sapiens (human)
Lineage: Eukaryota; Metazoa; Chordata; Mammalia; Primates; Hominidae
Description: HSALNT0405658
Source: RNAcentral